Cyprinodon tularosa is the source of this 408-nucleotide long non-coding RNA. RefSeq lists it as uncharacterized. Lineage: Eukaryota; Metazoa; Chordata; Actinopteri; Cyprinodontiformes; Cyprinodontidae. The record is from RefSeq and is a predicted model, not a curated record. The transcript has 2 exons.
AUUAGAAGAAGAAGAAAACCGUAGCUGGUUGUAGCAGGUUGUGGGAAUUACUGCAUGCUAUAAGAUAAAUUCUUGAUCAAUUCCGGUAACGGUUAAGAGAAAAGAAGAUCCGUGACCUGAUCCCUGGCAGUAAAACACAUUUUUACUGUGAUUUUCUCUGGUGGGUUUUUUUUAGAACCCCAUUCAACUUUGAAGACUGUCCAGCUGCACAUCAUCGCAGUCCUGGAUUGGAUUGCUGAGCUCCAGGUUUCAACCCAAGACCUGGGACUGCUGGAUCCGCUGCCUACUUUGCACUGGAUAAGAUAAGAUUUUGAAUCCAAAGAAACACAUGGCCAUUUAACAAAGACUUGACUGACUGACUUAAAUUACUGAACUAAAAAAAAAAAGAAAAAACUUCCAAAGGACGAA